This 722-nucleotide ribosomal RNA is filed under the name Australobolbus sp. NLG-2014. Its description in RNAcentral is "eukaryotic LSU rRNA". It matches the Rfam family "Eukaryotic large subunit ribosomal RNA", at positions 671 to 1265 of the family's 3401-position model. The record is from RNAcentral. Lineage: Eukaryota; Metazoa; Arthropoda; Insecta; Coleoptera; Geotrupidae.
GAGUCUAGCAUGUGCGCGAGUCGUUGGGUAAACGGUGCGCAGGGGGGCGACCCUCUCGCACGACUGUACUAAACCUCUUUGGCGCAAUGAAAGUAAAAGUCCGCCUCGCGCGGACCGAGGGAGGAUGGGCCGUCCGACGUGUCGGCCCCGCACUCCCGGGGCGUCUCCGUAACGCUCGUACGGCCAGUUCGUUCGAGCGUGGGGGCGCACCCAGAGCGUACACGCUGGGACCCGAAAGAUGGUGAACUAUGCCUGGUCAGGACGAAGUCAGGGGAAACCCUGAUGGAGGUCCGUAGCGAUUCUGACGUGCAAAUCGAUCGUCGGAACUGGGUAUAGGGGCGAAAGACUAAUCGAACCAUCUAGUAGCUGGUUCCCUCCGAAGUUUCCCUCAGGAUAGCUGGCGCUCGCCAUUUGAGCGAGUCUCAUCUGGUAAAGCGAAUGAUUAGAGGCAUUGGGGUCGAAACGGCCUCAACCUAUUCUCAAACUUUAAAUGGGUGAGAUCUCCGGCUUGCUUAAAUAGUGAAGCCGCGAGAUGUAUAAUUAUAUAUACUUGUAUAUAUAAUGUAAAGGAUCAGAGUGCCAAGUGGGCCACUUUUGGUAAGCAGAACUGGCGCUGUGGGAUGAACCAAACGCAGAGUUAAAGCGCCAAAAUCGAAGCUUAUGGGAUACCAUGAAAGGCGUUGGUAACUUAAGACAGCAGGACGGUGGCCAUGGAAGUCGGA